GAAUUUACCUUGCAGGGGAGACACCAUGCUCACAAAGGUGGUUUUCCGAAGGCAAGGCUCAUCACACUCUGGAUGUGCUGACCCCUGUGCUUUCCCCAAAUGUGGAAAAUUGGCUGCAGAAUCUGUGGCAGUGGGGUGGGGUGGGGGUUGUGUUUAAGAUCCUUCCCAU
Small nuclear RNA from Peromyscus californicus insignis, 169 nucleotides. RefSeq annotates it as U1 spliceosomal RNA. The transcript has a single exon. Lineage: Eukaryota; Metazoa; Chordata; Mammalia; Rodentia; Cricetidae. The record is from RefSeq and is a predicted model, not a curated record.